UGAAAUUAGAAAAUGUAACAUUCUCCCAAUUCUAAAGGAUAAAACUUAAUGAAUUUUUUGCUUUUUC
Long non-coding RNA from Amblyraja radiata (thorny skate), 67 nucleotides. RefSeq lists it as uncharacterized. The transcript has 3 exons. NCBI's taxonomy places the organism in Eukaryota, Metazoa, Chordata, Chondrichthyes, Rajiformes, Rajidae. The record is from RefSeq and is a predicted model, not a curated record.